This 210-nucleotide long non-coding RNA is filed under the name Elaeis guineensis (African oil palm). RNAcentral's name for it is "long non-coding RNA (EGUI_LNC004225)". The record is from RNAcentral. Lineage: Eukaryota; Viridiplantae; Streptophyta; Magnoliopsida; Arecales; Arecaceae.
AAUUCUUUUGUAGCAAUCAUUUGUAUACUGCACAACUGUACUCCUGCAAUUUGAGAAGUUUUCUAUAGUAAUUUGCCCAAUCGUUCUUGCCCAAUAUUUUUUAUAGUAGUUGCAGGAUUUUCAUGAAGUAUACAUUCCUUCCCAUUCACACUAUAUUUCAUUUGCAACUUUUGGAAAUUUCAGAGAAUAUCUCCUAAUGUUGUAAGCUAC